RNAcentral lists this ribosomal RNA (30 nucleotides) under Saccharomyces cerevisiae (brewer's yeast). RNAcentral describes it as "partial 18S ribosomal RNA". Lineage: Eukaryota; Fungi; Ascomycota; Saccharomycetes; Saccharomycetales; Saccharomycetaceae. The record is from RNAcentral.
GUCGUAACAAGGUUUCGUAGGUGAACGUGC